Lathyrus oleraceus (garden pea) is the source of this 106-nucleotide small nucleolar RNA. NCBI's taxonomy places the organism in Eukaryota, Viridiplantae, Streptophyta, Magnoliopsida, Fabales, Fabaceae. The record is from RefSeq and is a predicted model, not a curated record.
AAUUCGUGGUGAGUACAGGAUCCCAUCAAUUCCUUAUAUCACUCACAUGCUUCAAAAUGUGAUUCACCGCCCAUCUGCCUGAAGCGUGUAAUCUGGUUCAUUAGCU